CUAAUUUUACUGAACCAAAAUCCAAAUUUAUAGAAAACUCAGAUCCCAAAUCUGUCACAGACCCACCCUCCCGUGGCCACCACCUUCUGCCGCCUAAAUCCCCCUCUUCACGACCGUCGCCGCCUCCUCGCCAUCUAUAUCCUUGCACCCUCCUCGAAGAAUAGAUCUAAUAGUACAAAAAAAAAAUAACUUACUUUACUUGCUUCUUUCUUUUCAACCCACAAUGAAUUAUCUGAGCCUUCUACUCUCAAAUCUCUCUAACU
Molecule: long non-coding RNA, 263 nt
Filed under: Panax ginseng (ginseng)
Lineage: Eukaryota; Viridiplantae; Streptophyta; Magnoliopsida; Apiales; Araliaceae
Description: long non-coding RNA (PGIN_LNC014977)
Source: RNAcentral